Molecule: ribosomal RNA, 456 nt
Filed under: uncultured bacterium
Lineage: Bacteria
Description: bacterial SSU rRNA
Rfam family: Bacterial small subunit ribosomal RNA
Source: RNAcentral
GACGAACGCUGGCGGCGCGCCUAACACAUGCAAGUCGAGCGAGAACCAGGGCUUCGGCCCUGGGGACAGCGGCGAACGGGUGAGUAACACGUGGGUAACCUGCCCUCGGCACCGGGAUAGCCCGGGGAAACCCGGAUUAAUACCGGACAGCCUCAUGAGCUCUCGGGCUCGUGAGAAAAGGUGGCUUCGGCUUCCGGCUGAGGAUGGGCCCGCGGCCGAUUAGCUUGUUGGUGAGGUAACGGCUCACCAAGGCGAUGAUCGGUAGCUGGUCUGAGAGGACGAUCAGCCACACUGGGACUGAGACACGGCCCAGACUCCUACGGGAGGCAGCAGUGGGGAAUCUUGCGCAAUGGGCGAAAGCCUGAUCCAGCCAUGCCGCGUGAGUGAAGAAGGCCUUAGGGUUGUAAAGCUCUCUUGGCGGGAAGAUAAUGACGGUACCCGCAGAAUAAGCUCCGG